RNAcentral lists this unclassified non-coding RNA (216 nucleotides) under fungal sp. Its description in RNAcentral is "partial internal transcribed spacer region". The stretch from base 1 to 46 matches the Rfam family "Eukaryotic small subunit ribosomal RNA", at positions 1786 to 1831 of the family's 1831-position model. Lineage: Eukaryota; Fungi. RNAcentral also lists the same sequence under 1 other name. The record is from RNAcentral.
AAGUCGUAACAAGGUCUCCGUUGGUGAACCAGCGGAGGGAUCAUUAUCGAGCGUAAAAACUCCCUAAAACCCACUGUGAACCUACCUAUAACGUUGCCUCGGCGUGUCCUAGCGGGCUCGCCGGGGGACCCGAACUCUUGUUUCCCACACCGGAUCUUCUGAGUGGCGUAAAGCAAAAAUAAGUUAAAACUUUCAACAACGGAUCUCUUGGCUCUG